Grus americana (Whooping crane) is the source of this 2448-nucleotide RNA transcript. It is a transcript of the gene named apelin receptor early endogenous ligand, with no coding region annotated. The record is from RefSeq and is a predicted model, not a curated record. The transcript has 4 exons. NCBI's taxonomy places the organism in Eukaryota, Metazoa, Chordata, Aves, Gruiformes, Gruidae.
AAAGGGAGAAGGGAAGAGGGAGGCACUGCCGGCAGUGCAGGCAGGAACCUUGCCCCUGCCUGAUCAUUAACCCCGCUGCCGGCCGGGCCCCAGCUUGUCACUGGCACGUGAGCCGGGCAGGGGGGGCUGCCGGCCUCUUACAGCCACGCGGGCCGGUUUUCUAUACGUUCCUUCGCCUGUACGCAUAUACGCACCCUCGGAGCGCGCCUCUACGCUGACCGCGGACAUGAGACUCCGACUGCUCCUGUGCAUCGUCUUUUUGCUCCUGGCGAGCCUCCUCCCUGCCGACGGGCAGAGGCCAGCCAACGUGGCCCUGCGCAGGAAGCUCCACCGGCACGGCUGCUCCCACCGGCGCUGCGUGCCGCUCCACUCCAGGGUGCCCUUCCCCUGAGCCCCGGCGGAGCGUGGGCGAGGGCGAAGUCACCUCGCUCUGGCCGUCAGUAACAUGAAGCAGUUUCAUAAUGGGCUUUUCAGUGUUUUAAAGGAGCAACAAUUAAACUGAUAGAGAAGUUAGAAGUCCAGACCAACAGCAGCUGACCUGACAGAGCCACCGCAGUCUUCAACAGUCCUGUCUGUCACAUUCUGCAAGAGCUAGAACAAAGGCCCCCGGCUCACACCCUAGGAAUGGGGGUGGGGGUGGUGAUGGGAGGAUGUACAUGAAACUUACCCGGUUGAAACAUUCUGUAUAAAUUCUUUGGCUCUCAUAAGGACCAGUGAACGUUAAAGACCAAAUCAAACAUCAGGUACCUGAGAUGGAUUUCCAGCGGUCUCAAGAAGGGCCUGUCCAAGGGGACUCUUAAUGGUCUGUACUAUUCAAAGAAAUUAGACAUGCUGUUGACUACUCAAUUCAGGUUGUGUGUAGGGCAGUAUUUAGGGUGAAAACUCCAGCACAGAACUGUGAAAGUCCAUUUUUUUGUUUAUACUUUUAUAUAUUAAUAAUAUAUAUGUGCUUUAACACCUAACAUUACAUCUUUCUGGAAUUACUUUAAUAAUGUAGAAUGUAUUACUGUAAUAGUACCAAAGUCAGCAUCACACUAGUGGCCCUACUGGCUCCACGUAUAGUAAGCAUAGGAAGAGUUUACAAUAUAAGAAAGCAAAGAGAGUAUUAUCCCUCAUUCUACAGAUAGAGGAUUGAAGCACACAGAUAAGAGAUUAGCCAAGGGUCAUGCAAAACUGAUAACUCAGAUCUCUCAAGUCAGGCCUUAAGGUCAAGCCCAUCCUCCUGUCUAAUGAGCUGUUACAGCAAAGCCUAUCAUUUGUUUUCUUAAACUGGGCUGCCAAACCAGACAGCUAAAACAUACUUGAAAAUACAGUACUAUAGAACUAUUUGCUUAAUAGUAGUUUUCCUAAAAUACCCACUACAGUAUUAUAAAUGGAGCAUAAAAAUAGACCAUUGAAAAGGAACCUUUGUUUGGUCAACCCCAGUGUUGCGUAGUACUCUAUUCCUGUAAUUUAAAUGAAUGGGAUAUGUGGAACACAGCACUACAAUGAAUGACAACUUCAAACAGAAAACAGGCUGUUCUUUUUUAGCACUGGAGGUCAAGAAUACAUUGAGCUUUUAUUUACGUUUUGUUUUUAAAAAUGUUUCACAUCUUUCUAUAUCAGCAGAAAUUACAAGCCGUGGUUUAAAGCCAGUAUUAGAAUUUUGUCUUGCAACACAGAUUCUAAUAAGUGAAAGAACAGUAAUCAAGAAAACUGGAUAGCUGACACUUUCUAAUCAGUGUCUAUAUGUAACACCUCAUCUCUAAGAAUUUGAAACCUUAAUCGGAUUCAUGCUAGCAGAGCUUAACAGGAGUUUCAAAUUUCUCUGUAUAGGAAAAAAAAUAAAAUUUAACAUCACACCCUAUUCUUGAGUUUUGGAAAAUCAUCAUAAAAAGAUGGCCAAACCAACCAUGUUGUCUAUACCAACGAACACCUCUGCAGGUAAACCUUUGGAGUUUUGGAAAAAACCACACAUGUUUUUCCAAGAUUAGAGGCAUACUACCACUAAUUUUAUUUUUUAAUUAUUUAACUUCGGUUUCACGUGUAUCCAUGGCUAUCUCUGUUAGAAGUACAGGUAAAGAGUACAGGAAAGCAAGAAAGGUGAAGAGUAACUAUUUAACUGUUAUGUCUUAAAAAUGAGUAUAUGGAUUUAGUGUGGCACUGGAUAUUUUAUGUAAUCAUAAUUAUUCAAUUAACUGAUAAAAUCAUAAGAAAAAUAUAAUUUAUCUAUCAGAGCUAUAUAUACAUGUUCCUUUACAGAUGUAAAAAUAAAUAAAACAAGUACCAAAGUGUCCUACAAAGCCCAUUGUCAGUCUACAAAAUUUUGUAAAAGUGUCUGUUCUUUUUAGACAUGCUGAUACCAUAAAAUCUUCUUUGAAAAAAGCAUUGAUAUCUUUGAUAUCUUUGAUAGAUAUGUUUAUAAACUAGCUGGUUGAUUGUAUAUUUUGUAAAAAGAUAGUAUGCACU